Molecule: ribosomal RNA, 253 nt
Filed under: uncultured bacterium
Lineage: Bacteria
Description: partial 16S ribosomal RNA
Rfam family: Bacterial small subunit ribosomal RNA
Source: RNAcentral
GACAGAGGGUGCAAACGUUGCUCGGAAUCACUGGGCGUAAAGGGCGUGUAGGCGGGAAGGAAAGUCAGAUGUGAAAUCCCUGGGCUCAACCCAGGAACUGCAUUUGAAACUCCCUUUCUUGAGUGUCGGAGAGGAAAGCGGAAUUCCUGGUGUAGAGGUGAAAUUCGUAGAUAUCAGGAGGAACACCGAUGGCGAAGGCGGCUUUCUGGACGACAACUGACGCUGAGACGCGAAAGCGUGGGGAGCAAACAGG